CAGGCCAAAUCAGCAACGCAACAACAGUUGCUAACUUCUCGUACUUGGACGAUGGCACUUUCCACCUUGCCGAGGGAGUUGUUGUGCGGUCUGAAGCUGCCUUCAAGAUCAUGCGCAAUCUCAAGCCAGCACUUGUCGUGAAGGACACGCCUCAAGCUAUGUGGGGGAACCAUGGUUUAGAAAAGAAGAGCGUCACAGGGAUGGCGGCGCCACGGAAAAAAUGCCUGGGCGAAUUGGCUAAAGAGUCACUAACACCCGAGAAGGUUGCUGUUGUUGCAGCCACGCUGAAGCACUGGGGUGCAGAAAAGAACAUAGACGUGGAAUCAACAAUCUUGG
RNAcentral lists this long non-coding RNA (336 nucleotides) under Dermacentor andersoni. Its description in RNAcentral is "uncharacterized LOC126516836". The record is from RNAcentral. Lineage: Eukaryota; Metazoa; Arthropoda; Arachnida; Ixodida; Ixodidae.